CAUUGUGAAGAAGGAACAAGGAACAAUACUGGCCUUUUUAAGCACCAAUGCCACCAUUUACAGGCUAAUUAAAGUAUUGUGAGCAUGGACAAGGUGAGGACAGUCUUCCGCUGCUGGGGAUCCCAGAUCGCAUUCGAGCACAACAACAACCCCAAGCAUACCUGCACAUCAACUAAAGAAUGGCUUCAGCAGAAAAAAGAUCCAAGUUCGGAAUAACCCAGCCAGAGGCCAGACCUGAAAUCCAAUUACAAAUCUGUGAGACGACCUGAAGAGGGCUGCACACAGAAGAUGCUCUGAUAAGCCGACACAUUUGGAGCACUUUUGCAAGAAAGAGUGGGCAAAGAUUGCCAAUUUAUAAUGUGCCAUGCUGAUAGACUCCUAACCAGAAUAA
Trichomycterus rosablanca is the source of this 391-nucleotide long non-coding RNA. RefSeq lists it as uncharacterized. The record is from RefSeq and is a predicted model, not a curated record. The transcript has 3 exons. NCBI's taxonomy places the organism in Eukaryota, Metazoa, Chordata, Actinopteri, Siluriformes, Trichomycteridae.